RNAcentral lists this ribosomal RNA (459 nucleotides) under uncultured bacterium. Its description in RNAcentral is "bacterial SSU rRNA". It matches the Rfam family "Bacterial small subunit ribosomal RNA", at positions 26 to 507 of the family's 1533-position model. The record is from RNAcentral.
AGGACGAACGCUGGCGGGCGUGCUUAACACAUGCAAGUCGAACGGGAGUAUUGAAGAAGCUUGCUUUAGAGAUACUUUAGUGGCGGACGGGUGAGUAACGCGUGAGGAGCUGUCCUAUGCAGGGGGACAACAGCUGGAAACGGCUGCUAAUACCCCAUAAGCCGAGAGGUAAAAGGAUCAAUCCGGCAGAGGAGGUACUCGCGUCCUAUCAGCUAGUAGGUGAGGUAACGGCUCACCUAGGCGAAGACGGGUAGCCGGCCUGAGAGGGCGAACGGCCACACUGGAACUGAGAUACGGUCCAGACUCCUACGGGAGGCAGCAGUGGGGAAUAUUGGGCAAUGGGGGAAACCCUGACCCAGCGACGCCGCGUGGGUGAAGAAAUCCUUCGGGAUGUAAAGCCCUGUUGUAUGGGAAGAGCGGAAGACGGUACCAUACGAGGAAGCCCCGGCAAACUACGUG